This 348-nucleotide unclassified non-coding RNA is filed under the name soil metagenome. Its description in RNAcentral is "partial contains 5.8S ribosomal RNA, internal transcribed spacer 2, and large subunit ribosomal RNA". The stretch from base 1 to 120 matches the Rfam family "5.8S ribosomal RNA", at positions 35 to 154 of the family's 154-position model. The record is from RNAcentral.
GAUGAAGAACGCAGCGAAAUGCGAUAAGUAAUGUGAAUUGCAGAAUUCAGUGAAUCAUCGAGUCUUUGAACGCACAUUGCGCCCCCUGGUAUUCCGGGGGGCAUGCCUGUCCGAGCGUCAUUGCUGCCCUCAAGCACGGCUUGUGUGUUGGGCCGCCGUCCCCGGUUUCCCCCGGGGACGGGCCCGAAAGGCAGCGGCGGCACCGCGUCCGAUCCUCGAACGUAUGGGGCUUUGUCACCCGCUCUGUAGGCCCGGCCGGCGCCAGCCGACACCCAACUUUAUUUCUAAGGUUGACCUCGGAUCAGGUAGGGAUACCCGCUGAACUUAAGCAUAUCAAUAAGCGGAGGA